UGUGAGCUCGAUGAGUAGGGCGGGACACGUGGUAUCCUGUCUGAAUAUGGGGGGACCAUCCUCCAAGGCUAAAUACUCCUGACUGACCGAUAGUGAACCAGUACCGUGAGGGAAAGGCGAAAAGAACCCCGGCGAGGGGAGUGAAAAAGAACCUGAAACCGUGUACGUACAAGCAGUGGGAGCACGCUUAGGCGUGUGACUGCGUACCUUUUGUAUAAUGGGUCAGCGACUUAUAUUCUGUAGCAAGGUUAACCGAAUAGGGGAGCCGAAGGGAAACCGAGUCUUAACUGGGCGUUAAGUUGCAGGGUAUAGACCCGAAACCCGGUGAUCUAGCCAUGGGCAGGUUGAAGGUUGGGUAACACUAACUGGAGGACCGAACCGACUAAUGUUGAAAAAUUAGCGGAUGACUUGUGGCUGGGGGUGAAAGGCCAAUCAAACCGGGAGAUAGCUGGUUCUCCCCGAAAGCUAUUUAGGUAGCGCCUCGUGAAUUCAUCUCCGGGGGUAGAGCACUGUUUCGGCAAGGGGGUCAUCCCGACUUACCAACCCGAUGCAAACUGCGAAUACCGGAGAAUGUUAUCACGGGAGACACACGGCGGGUGCUAACGUCCGUCGUGAAGAGGGAAACAACCCAGACCGCCAGCUAAGGUCCCAAAGUCAUGGUUAAGUGGGAAACGAUGUGGGAAGGCCCAGACAGCCAGGAUGUUGGCUUAGAAGCAGCCAUCAUUUAAAGAAAGCGUAAUAGCUCACUGGUCGAGUCGGCCUGCGCGGAAGAUGUAACGGGGCUAAACCAUGCACCGAAGCUGCGGCAGCGACGCUUAUGCGUUGUUGGGUAGGGGAGCGUUCUGUAAGCCUGUGAAGGUGUGCUGUGAGGCAUGCUGGAGGUAUCAGAAGUGCGAAUGCUGACAUAAGUAACGAUAAAGCGGGUGAAAAGCCCGCUCGCCGGAAGACCAAGGGUUCCUGUCCAACGUUAAUCGGGGCAGGGUGAGUCGACCCCUAAGGCGAGGCCGAAAGGCGUAGUCGAUGGGAAACAGGUUAAUAUUCCUGUACUUGGUGUUACUGCGAAGGGGGGACGGAGAAGGCUAUGUUGGCCGGGCGACGGUUGUCCCGGUUUAAGCGUGUAGGCUGGUUUUCCAGGCAAAUCCGGAAAAUCAAGGCUGAGGCGUGAUGACGAGGCACUACGGUGCUGAAGCAACAAAUGCCCUGCUUCCAGGAAAAGCCUCUAAGCAUCAGGUAACAUCAAAUCGUACCCCAAACCGACACAGGUGGUCAGGUAGAGAAUACCAAGGCGCUUGAGAGAACUCGGGUGAAGGAACUAGGCAAAAUGGUGCCGUAACUUCGGGAGAAGGCACGCUGAUAUGUAGGUGAAGUCCCUUGCGGAUGGAGCUGAAAUCAGUCGAAGAUACCAGCUGGCUGCAACUGUUUAUUAAAAACACAGCACUGUGCAAACACGAAAGUGGACGUAUACGGUGUGACGCCUGCCCGGUGCCGGAAGGUUAAUUGAUGGGGUCAGCGCAAGCGAAGCUCUUGAUCGAAGCCCCGGUAAACGGCGGCCGUAACUAUAACGGUCCUAAGGUAGCGAAAUUCCUUGUCGGGUAAGUUCCGACCUGCACGAAUGGCGUAAUGAUGGCCAGGCUGUCUCCACCCGAGACUCAGUGAAAUUGAACUCGCUGUGAAGAUGCAGUGUACCCGCGGCAAGACGGAAAGACCCCGUGAACCUUUACUAUAGCUUGACACUGAACAUUGAGCCUUGAUGUGUAGGAUAGGUGGGAGGCUUGGAAGUGUGGACGCCAGUCUGCAUGGAGCCGACCUUGAAAUACCACCCUUUAAUGUUUGAUGUUCUAACGUUGACCCGUAAUCCGGGUUGCGGACAGUGUCUGGUGGGUAGUUUGACUGGGGCGGUCUCCUCCUAAAGAGUAACGGAGGAGCACGAAGGUUGGCUAAUCCUGGUCGGACAUCAGGAGGUUAGUGCAAUGGCAUAAGCCAGCUUGACUGCGAGCGUGACGGCGCGAGCAGGUGCGAAAGCAGGUCAUAGUGAUCCGGUGGUUCUGAAUGGAAGGGCCAUCGCUCAACGGAUAAAAGGUACUCCGGGGAUAACAGGCUGAUACCGCCCAAGAGUUCAUAUCGACGGCGGUGUUUGGCACCUCGAUGUCGGCUCAUCACAUCCUGGGGCUGAAGUAGGUCCCAAGGGUAUGGCUGUUCGCCAUUUAAAGUGGUACGCGAGCUGGGUUUAGAACGUCGUGAGACAGUUCGGUCCCUAUCUGCCGUGGGCGCUGGAGAACUGAGGGGGGCUGCUCCUAGUACGAGAGGACCGGAGUGGACGCAUCACUGGUGUUCGGGUUGUCAUGCCAAUGGCACUGCCCGGUAGCUAAAUGCGGAAGAGAUAAGUGCUGAAAGCAUCUAAGCACGAAACUUGCCCCGAGAUGAGUUCUCCCUGAC
Molecule: ribosomal RNA, 2436 nt
Filed under: Escherichia coli
Lineage: Bacteria; Pseudomonadati; Pseudomonadota; Gammaproteobacteria; Enterobacterales; Enterobacteriaceae
Description: bacterial LSU rRNA
Rfam family: Bacterial large subunit ribosomal RNA
Source: RNAcentral